CCUGUACACUCGUUCCCACUACCAACAUCUCACAAAGAGAAUUAGAUCUUCACAGAAACACUUCACAGGAGUAUUUCCUCAAAGUGGAAGUCAAGCUCUUUAAGAGAUGAAGGCCCUUUUCCUCUCAGUUGUUUUCCUUCAUCUUUUGAUUUUAAUACAAAGUGUUGAGGUAAGGAUG
Molecule: long non-coding RNA, 178 nt
Organism: Cyprinodon tularosa
Lineage: Eukaryota; Metazoa; Chordata; Actinopteri; Cyprinodontiformes; Cyprinodontidae
Exons: 3
Source: RefSeq, a predicted model, not a curated record